This 693-nucleotide non-coding RNA is filed under the name Colletotrichum chlorophyti. RNAcentral's name for it is "Eukaryotic small subunit ribosomal RNA". It matches the Rfam family "Eukaryotic small subunit ribosomal RNA", at positions 1 to 698 of the family's 1831-position model. The record is from Rfam by way of RNAcentral. Lineage: Eukaryota; Fungi; Ascomycota; Sordariomycetes; Glomerellales; Glomerellaceae.
UACCUGGUUGAUUCUGCCAGUAGUCAUAUGCUUGUCUCAAAGAUUAAGCCAUGCAUGUCUAAGUAUAAGCAAUUAUACAGCGAAACUGCGAAUGGCUCAUUAUAUAAGUUAUCGUUUAUUUGAUAGUACCUUACUACUUGGAUAACCGUGGUAAUUCUAGAGCUAAUACAUGCUAAAAAUCCCGACUUCGGAAGGGAUGUAUUUAUUAGAUUAAAAACCAAUGCCCUUCGGGGCUCACUGGUGAUUCAUAAUAACUUCUCGAAUCGCAUGGCCUUGCGCCGGCGAUGGUUCAUUCAAAUUUCUUCCCUAUCAACUUUCGAUGCUAGAGUAGUGUUCUAGCAUGGUUACAACGGGUAACGGAGGGUUAGGGCUCGACCCCGGAGAAGGAGCCUGAGAAACGGCUACUACAUCCAAGGAAGGCAGCAGGCGCGCAAAUUACCCAAUCCCGACACGGGGAGGUAGUGACGAUAAAUACUGAUACAGGGCUCUUUUGGGUCUUGUAAUUGGAAUGAGUACAAUUUAAAUCCCUUAACGAGGAACAAUUGGAGGGCAAGUCUGGUGCCAGCAGCCGCGGUAAUUCCAGCUCCAAUAGCGUAUAUUAAAGUUGUUGUGGUUAAAAAGCUCGUAGUAGAACCUUGGGCCUGGCUGGCCGGUCCGCCUCACCGCGUGCACUGGUCCGGCCGGGCCUUUCCC